AUUGAACGCUGGCGGCAUGCCUUACACAUGCAAGUCGAACGGUAACAGGUUAAGCUGACGAGUGGCGAACGGGUGAGUAAUGUAUCGGAACGUGCCCAGUCGUGGGGGAUAACUGCUCGAAAGAGCGGCUAAUACCGCAUACGACCUGAGGGUGAAAGCGGGGGAUCGCAAGACCUCGCGCGAUUGGAGCGGCCGAUAUCAGAUUAGGUAGUUGGUGAGGUAAAGGCUCACCAAGCCGACGAUCUGUAGCUGGUCUGAGAGGACGACCAGCCACACUGGGACUGAGACACGGCCCAGACUCCUACGGGAGGCAGCAGGGGGGAAUUUUGGACAAUGGGCGCAAGCCUGAUCCAGCCAUGCCGCGUGCGGGAAGAAGGCCUUCGGGUUGUAAACCGCUUUUGUCAGGGAAGAAAAGGUUCUGGCUAAUACCUGGGACUCAUGACGGUACCUGAAGAAUAAGCACCGGCUAACUACGUG
This 477-nucleotide ribosomal RNA is filed under the name uncultured bacterium. RNAcentral's name for it is "partial 16S ribosomal RNA". It matches the Rfam family "Bacterial small subunit ribosomal RNA", at positions 30 to 507 of the family's 1533-position model. The record is from RNAcentral.